This 362-nucleotide ribosomal RNA is filed under the name uncultured Thermovirga sp. RNAcentral describes it as "bacterial SSU rRNA". It matches the Rfam family "Bacterial small subunit ribosomal RNA", at positions 1021 to 1382 of the family's 1533-position model. Lineage: Bacteria; Thermotogati; Synergistota; Synergistia; Synergistales; Thermovirgaceae. The record is from RNAcentral.
AGUGAGAGCGUACACAGGUGCUGCAUGGCUGUCGUCAGCUCGUGUCGUGAGAUGUGGGUUAAGUCCCGCAACGAGCGCAACCCUGCAUUCAGUUGCCAUCGGUAAGGCCGGGCACUCUGGAUGGACUGCCGGCGACAAGCCGGAGGAAGGUGGGGACGACGUCAAGUCAUCAUGGCCCUUAUGUCCAGGGCGACACACGUGCUACAAUGGCCGGCACAACGGGAAGCGAAGGGGCGACCCUGAGCGGAUCCCCAUAAAAGCCGGUCCCAGUUCGGAUUGCAGUCUGCAACUCGACUGCAUGAAGUUGGAAUCGCUAGUAAUCGUGGAUCAGCCAAGCCGCGGUGAAUACGUUCCCGGGCCUU